AUUGGCUAACUUCCUAGUGACUGAGCAGCUUUUGUUUCAUGAGAUUAACAGUUUGGGAGGAAGAGUAGUUUAUCCUCUGGCAUGUUGAUCUAUCUGAGCAGUCUAGAUGUAUCAGAACAGUUUGAUUGCUUGCUCAGGCAGUACAUGACACCAUGGACCGCCAACUGCAUCUUGUGCACAUUGUAUCAUUUAUUAAAAAGGAAAAACAUAUCGUGCAGAUUGUGGAGACUGGAUAUCGAUGGUGAUGUUUCACUGGCAUCCGUCAGAGUUUCAGCUCUAGUUUAGCAGGAUUAUUCACAGCGAACAGUGAAUCCAGAAGUUGGUUGUUCCAUCCUGAGUUCCAGACAACGAAACUGAUGUGAGCCUCUCUCUUGAUAUCUCGAUGGAGUUAUUUCUGCAUAAUCGACCCUAUCAAAGGUGUCUCUCACCCUCCCUCCGUCUUGAGUCUUGAGUCUUGACCAACCUGAACCCUGACGAGGAGGAAGCUACCUACCUCCUCCCGGCCUCUCCACCGCCAGUUUUUCUCCGGCCACCUCCCCGACUACAUCCUCCACUCCUCCCCUGCAUCUGCUCUGGCCACAUUUGGCACUGACGCCACACGUCCCAGGAUGCUCAUUACCCGUUGUCGGGCAAGGCCUGAGCAAUUGUCUGCUGAACUAGGGCCAGCAUCUAUGACUCUGAGUUACUCAGUGUCUUGUUGGAUCUAUCACAUUGGUCCUCCGUCCUCUGACCAUCACGGCAAAUCGAUCGACAGGAACAGCAUCUGCAAAACUGGCACGUGAGAGAUACAGUACGAAGAUGUUUCUCGAUGAUGAUGAGCAGCACAUUAAUUCUUCCCUUAUUGUAAACCUUACUUCAAUUUAAAGCUGGACUUUAACCUUUUCUCGUAGAGCUAAGGAUGGACUUUAUCCAGUCCAGUGUAGUUCAGCUCCGGGAGGCAAGCGAAGCAACAACCUGAGUAAGAGUUGUCGCGUUGUUGCUGCUUCAGUCCGGACAAAUUAGCACUAGCUUGUUAACCCUGACGAAACUGGAGCACUGCUUCUUGUUCAGAAUUCAGAU
Molecule: long non-coding RNA, 1059 nt
Organism: Triticum aestivum (bread wheat)
Lineage: Eukaryota; Viridiplantae; Streptophyta; Magnoliopsida; Poales; Poaceae
Exons: 4
Source: RefSeq, a predicted model, not a curated record